GACGAACGCUGGCGGCGUGCUUAACACAUGCAAGUGGAGCGACGAACCGGGGCUUGCCCCGGGGCAGAGCCGCGAACGGGUGAGUAACACGUGGGUAACCUGCCUCAAUGAUUGGGACAACCCGGGGAAACUCGGGCUAAUACCAAAUGUGUUCACUCCUUCCAAGGGGAGUGAGGAAAGGAAGCUUCGGCCUCCGCAUUGAGAUGGGCCCGCGGCCCAUUAGCUUGUUGGUGAGGUAACGGCUCACCAAGGCUUCGAUGGGUAGCUGGUCUGAGAGGACGAUCAACCACACUGGGACUGAGACACGGCCCAGACUCCUACGGAGGCAGCAGUGGGAAUCUUGCACAAUGCGCGAAAGCGUGAUGCAGCAACGCCGCGUGGGGGAA
Molecule: ribosomal RNA, 386 nt
Filed under: uncultured bacterium
Lineage: Bacteria
Description: bacterial SSU rRNA
Rfam family: Bacterial small subunit ribosomal RNA
Source: RNAcentral